GACGAACGCUGGCGGCGUGCUUAACACAUGCAAGUCGAACGGAAAGGCCCUGCUUUUGUGGGGUGCUCGAGUGGCGAACGGGUGAGUAACACGUGAGUAACCUGCCCUUGACUUUGGGAUAACUUCAGGAAACUGGGGCUAAUACCGGAUAGGAGCUCCUGCUGCAUGGUGGGGGUUGGAAAGUUUCGGCGGUUGGGGAUGGACUCGCGGCUUAUCAGCUUGUUGGUGGGGUAGUGGCUUACCAAGGCUUUGACGGGUAGCCGGCCUGAGAGGGUGACCGGCCACAUUGGUACUGAGAUACGGCCCAGACUCCUACGGGAGGCAGCAUUGGGGAAUAGUGCACAAUGGGCGGACGCCUGAUGCAGCAACGCCGCGUGCGGGAUGACGGCCUUCGGGUUGUAAACCGCUUUCGCCUGUAACGAAGCGUUAGUGACGGUAAUGGGUAAAGAAGCACCGGCUAACUACGUG
Molecule: ribosomal RNA, 468 nt
Filed under: uncultured bacterium
Lineage: Bacteria
Description: partial 16S ribosomal RNA
Rfam family: Bacterial small subunit ribosomal RNA
Source: RNAcentral